GCCAUGGGGGACCUGAUGCAGCCAUGCCGCGUGUGUGAAGAAGGCCUUCGGGUUGUAAAGCACUUUCAGCGAGGAGGAAAGGUCAGUAGCUAAUAUCUGCUGGCUGUGACGUUACUCGCAGAAGAAGCACCGGCUAACUCCGUGCCAGCAGCCGCGGUAAUACGGAGGGUGCAAGCGUUAAUCGGAAUUACUGGGCGUAAAGCGCACGCAGGCGGUUGGAUAAGUUAGAUGUGAAAGCCCCGGGCUCAACCUGGGAAUUGCAUUUAAAACUGUCCAGCUAGAGUCUUGUAGAGGGGGUUAGAAUUCCGGGUGUAGCGUUGAAAAGCUUACAUAUCUGGAGGAACAAACUGG
RNAcentral lists this ribosomal RNA (351 nucleotides) under Aeromonas sp. RNAcentral's name for it is "bacterial SSU rRNA". It matches the Rfam family "Bacterial small subunit ribosomal RNA", at positions 368 to 714 of the family's 1533-position model. The record is from RNAcentral. Lineage: Bacteria; Pseudomonadati; Pseudomonadota; Gammaproteobacteria; Aeromonadales; Aeromonadaceae.